CAAACCGUAAAUUAUGCUUGCUAGAUGUUGAUCUUGUAUUGGAUCAGUGUCGUAACUCAACAGGUUAAGCAAGUCGCCUGGGUAGUAUAUUCGCAAGAAUGAAACUCAAAGGGAUAGGCGGGGGAACACACAAGCAGUGGAUUGUCUCGAUUAAUUGGAUAGCAAACCAAAAACCUCACCUAGGUUUGACAUGUGUUGUGUCGUAUAGGAAACUAUGCUAUACUGAGCAAUCAGUAGCUUCACACAGGUGG
Molecule: ribosomal RNA, 251 nt
Filed under: uncultured bacterium
Lineage: Bacteria
Description: partial 16S ribosomal RNA
Rfam family: Bacterial small subunit ribosomal RNA
Source: RNAcentral